Molecule: ribosomal RNA, 574 nt
Filed under: Debaryomyces hansenii
Lineage: Eukaryota; Fungi; Ascomycota; Pichiomycetes; Serinales; Debaryomycetaceae
Description: LSU rRNA
Rfam family: Eukaryotic large subunit ribosomal RNA
Source: RNAcentral
ACUCAGGGAUUGCCUUAGUACGGCGAGUGAAGCGGCAAAAGCUCAAAUUUGAAAUCUGGCACCUUCGGUGUCCGAGUUGUAAUUUGAAGAAGGUAACUUUGGAGUUGGCUCUUGUCUAUGUUCCUUGGAACAGGACGUCACAGAGGGUGAGAAUCCCGUGCGAUGAGAUGCCCAAUUCUAUGUAAAGUGCUUUCGAAGAGUCGAGUUGUUUGGGAAUGCAGCUCUAAGUGGGUGGUAAAUUCCAUCUAAAGCUAAAUAUUGGCGAGAGACCGAUAGCGAACAAGUACAGUGAUGGAAAGAUGAAAAGAACUUUGAAAAGAGAGUGAAAAAGUACGUGAAAUUGUUGAAAGGGAAGGGCUUGAGAUCAGACUUGGUAUUUUGCGAUCCUUUCCUUCUUGGUUGGGUUCCUCGCAGCUUACUGGGCCAGCAUCGGUUUGGAUGGUAGGAUAAUGACUAAGGAAUGUGGCUCUACUUCGGUGGAGUGUUAUAGCCUUGGUUGAUACUGCCUGUCUAGACCGAGGACUGCGUCUUUUGACUAGGAUGUUGGCAUAAUGAUCUUAAGCCACCCGUCUUG